UCCUACGGGAGGCAGCAGUGGGGAAUAUUGCGCAAUGGGGGCAACCCUGACGCAGCAACGCCGCGUGCAGGAAGAAGGUCUUCGGAUUGUAAACUGUUGUCGCAAGGGAAGAAGACAGUGACGGUACCUUGUGAGAAAGUCACGGCUAACUACGUGCCAGCAGCCGCGGUAAUA
RNAcentral lists this ribosomal RNA (174 nucleotides) under uncultured bacterium. RNAcentral's name for it is "partial 16S ribosomal RNA". It matches the Rfam family "Bacterial small subunit ribosomal RNA", at positions 337 to 525 of the family's 1533-position model. The record is from RNAcentral.